RNAcentral lists this long non-coding RNA (889 nucleotides) under Marmota monax (woodchuck). The record is from RNAcentral. Lineage: Eukaryota; Metazoa; Chordata; Mammalia; Rodentia; Sciuridae.
GGAGAAGCCAGCACUGUGGGACCUGGGUCAAGCUGUCUGUCCACUUGCUCUAGGCUGAAGGCCCAUGUCCCCCAAAUUUGUAUGUUGACUCCUAAGCCCCGGGCAAGGGCCUUGGGAGGUGAGGCCUUCAGAGGGAGAUGGGGCCAUGACAGCAGGGCCUUCCUGUGUGGGAAAGAGACCCAGAGAGAUUCACGCCUCUUCCACCACCGGAGGACACAGCAAGAAGCCGUCAUCUAUGAACAGGAACGGGCCUUGCCAGGUGCUGAGCCUGCCCAUGCCCGGACUUUGGACUCCCAGCCUCCAGAGCUGUGAGGAGUCACUUCUGUGGUCUCUACGCCUCCUGUGGCAGCAGCCCCGAGCACACCAUCCCACCUCUCCAGCCACUGUAAGGUGCAGACAGAGGCGCCUUCCCCAGGGACACCCCCAGGACCUGAAGGGGCACUGGCAGAGAAGGCACGGGCUCAGGCAGCCCCGUCAACCCUACCUUGGGGUGCUGUCCCCCGACCUCCCUCCUCCCUUCCCCCUCACAGCCCUCCUUGAGACCCACACUCCCCCUACAAGAGUUAGCCACUUGGGGGAGGGGUCACAGGUGGUGAAGGUAAAGUGACAUGUGACCAGCCACUUCAUCCUGGCUGUGCAGAGGGUGGUGAAGGAAAGCUCGGGCGAGGGGAGCACCCAGCAGCAUGGGGCAGGGCAGGCUUCGCAGGCAGAAAGUGGGUCAGUGUGCCCUGCAGAGGCAAGAGGCCGGCCGUGAGCGAGGACAGGUGGGGACAGGUGGCAAUUCAGAGAUGCAGCACCCGGGCCAGUGGACCCGGCCACAGCACUCCUCGAGUGCUCGUCCAGUCUCCAUUUUGCAAUGAAAGCAAAGGAGAGCCAGCCUGCACCCCCG